UGGGGAAUAUUGCACAAUGGGCGAAAGCCUGAUGCAGCAACGCCGCGUGAGUGAUGAAGGUCUUCGGAUUGUAAAGCUCUGUCUUUUGGGACGAUAAUGACGGUACCAAAGGAGGAAGCCGCGGCUAACUACGUGCCAGCAGCCGCGGUAAUACGUAGGUGGCGAGCGUUGUCCGGAUUUACUGGGCGUAAAGGGUGCGUAGGCGGAUGUUUAAGUGAGAUGUGAAAUACCCGGGCUUAACUUGGGUGCUGCAUUUCAAACUGGAUAUCUAGAGUGCAGGAGAGGAGAAUGGAAUUCCUAGUGUAGCGGUGAAAUGCGUAGAGAUUAGGAAGAACACCAGUGGCGAAGGCGAUUCUCUGGACUGUAACUGACGCUGAGGCACGAAAGCGUGGGUAGCAAACAGGAUUAGAUACCCUGGUAGUCCACGCCGUAAAACGAUGAGUACUAGGUGUAGGAGGUAUCGACCCCUUCUGUGCCGCAGUAAACACA
RNAcentral lists this ribosomal RNA (489 nucleotides) under uncultured bacterium. RNAcentral's name for it is "partial 16S ribosomal RNA". It matches the Rfam family "Bacterial small subunit ribosomal RNA", at positions 355 to 859 of the family's 1533-position model. The record is from RNAcentral.